Molecule: ribosomal RNA, 500 nt
Filed under: uncultured bacterium
Lineage: Bacteria
Description: partial 16S ribosomal RNA
Rfam family: Bacterial small subunit ribosomal RNA
Source: RNAcentral
UUUGAACGCUGGCGGCAGGCUUAACACAUGCAAGUCGAGCGGGGGAAGGUAGCUUGCUACCGGACCUAGCGGGGACGGGUGAGUAAUGCUUAGGAAUCUGCCUAUUAGUGGGGGACAACAUCUCGAAAGGGAUGCUAAUACCGCAUACGUCCUACGGGAGAAAGCAGGGGAUCUUCGGACCUUGCGCUAAUAGAUGAGCCUAAGUCGGAUUAGCUAGUUGGUGGGGUAAAGGCCUACCAAGGCGACGAUCUGUAGCGGGUCUGAGAGGAUGAUCCCCCACACUGGGACUUAGACACGGACCAGACUCCUCCGGGAGGCAGCAGUGGGGAAUAUUGGACAAUGGGGGGAACCCUGAUCCAGCCAUGCCGCGUGUGUGAAGUAGGCCUUAUGGUUGUAAAGCACUUUAAGCGAGGAGGAGGCUACUUUAGUUAAUACCUAGAGAUAGUGGACGUUACUCGCAGAAUAAGCACCGGCUAACUCUGUGCCAGCCGCCGCCGUAA